UACAGAGGCCCCGAGCGUUAUCCGGAAUUACUGGGCGUAAAGAGUGAGUAGCCGGCACUACUAGUCUGAUGUUAAAUCUCAUCGCUUAACGGUGAGGCCGCAUUAGAAACGGUAGAGCUUGAGCGAGUCAGAGGCAUGCGGAACGUGCGGUGUAGGGGUGAAAUCCGCUGAUAUCGCACGGAACACCAAAAGCGAAGGCAGCAUGCUAGGGCUUUGCUGACGGUCAGUCACGAAAGCGUGGGGAUCAAAAAGG
This 253-nucleotide ribosomal RNA is filed under the name uncultured bacterium. RNAcentral's name for it is "partial 16S ribosomal RNA". It matches the Rfam family "Bacterial small subunit ribosomal RNA", at positions 524 to 776 of the family's 1533-position model. The record is from RNAcentral.